This 497-nucleotide ribosomal RNA is filed under the name uncultured bacterium. Its description in RNAcentral is "partial 16S ribosomal RNA". It matches the Rfam family "Bacterial small subunit ribosomal RNA", at positions 28 to 507 of the family's 1533-position model. The record is from RNAcentral.
GAUGAACGCUGGCGGCGUGCCUAAUACAUGCAAGUCGAGCGAACAGACGAGGAGCUUGCUCCUCUGACGUUAGCGGCGGACGGGUGAGUAACACGUGGAUAACCUACCUAUAAGACUGGGAUAACUUCGGGAAACCGGAGCUAAUACCGGAUAAUAUAUUGAACCGCAUGGUUCAAUAGUGAAAGACGGUUUUGCUGUCACUUAUAGAUGGAUCCGCGCCGCAUUAGCUAGUUGGUAAGGUAACGGCUUACCAAGGCGACGAUGCGUAGCCGACCUGAGAGGUGGGUCGGCCACACGGGAACUGAGACACGGUCCAGACUCCUACGGGAGGCAGCAGUAGGGAAUCUUCCGCAAUGGGCGAAAGCCUGACGGAGCAACGCCGCGUGAGUGAUGAAGGUCUUCGGAUCGUAAAACUCUGUUAUUAGGGAAGAACAAAUGUGUAAGUAACUAUGCACGUCUUGACGGUACCUAAUCAGAAAGCCACGGCUAACUACGUG